GCGUCCGGUAGUGCAACGGUUUAGCACGCGCUCCCGGAAAGAGUGAGAUCUGAGUUCGAAUCCUAGCUGACACG
Molecule: non-coding RNA, 74 nt
Organism: Parelaphostrongylus tenuis
Lineage: Eukaryota; Metazoa; Nematoda; Chromadorea; Rhabditida; Metastrongylidae
Source: the annotation of a GenBank genome assembly